This 1518-nucleotide ribosomal RNA is filed under the name Triticum aestivum (bread wheat). RNAcentral describes it as "partial small subunit ribosomal RNA". Lineage: Eukaryota; Viridiplantae; Streptophyta; Magnoliopsida; Poales; Poaceae. The record is from RNAcentral.
AUGGUGCCGCAGCACGGCAUCCUCCUCGCCAUGGGCCUCAUAUCCGACCACUUCGGCCCCCUCGUAGCUAAAGUGUGCGACUGCCUCCUCCGUCACGGAGCGCUGCAGCUGCCGGAGAUUGUCCGCCGUCUCAAGCUCCCGCCGGGCCAAGUGAAGAACUCUCUCCUUGUCCUCAUCCAGCACAAUUGCGUUCAGGCCUUCUCAUCGACCAGAGGCAAUAGGAUGGUGACGCUCUACCUGGCCAUCUUCGAUAAUGUCCUGCAUCGGCUGCGCUUCUCAAAGUUCAUCUCUGUUAUCCGUGCAGACAUUCCAGAGUCAGAAGCUCUUAUUGAGGGUUUGCUUCAGAAUGGUAGGCUAACAUUCGACCAACUUGUGGGACGAACAAUCUCUAAAGUGCCAGAAGGCACCAUCCGACCAGCAAGGGAAGAGAUACGAAUAAACUUCAACAGACUUGUGUAUGCACGUUAUGUGGAACGUUGCCCAAAACCUGAACCAUCUUUUGAUCCACUCGGAGAUGAACAGUCUACAUCUGCGAGGAGAAGAGUUCCAAAAACCGCCGAGGAGGUUCUUUCACUUGAGCAGAAAGUUGUCAAUACUGCAAACCUUUCUGACCCAGAAAGAUUUUCUGAGAUCCCAUACAGCGUGGAGGAUGCAUCAAAAACAAAUGAUUGUCCUCAUAACGCAGUUGUUGGUGCUAAGCGGAAACACGGAGCCUUUGAGGUAGAUGAAGAGCUCAACUCAAACAUUGCCGAGAAUGAAGUACUUUGGCGGGUAAACUUUGAUAAAUUUAUAUUCUGUCUAAAGAAGAAGUUUUGUGCAGACCGAAAGAAGCCAAAGCUGAAGGUUGGCACACAUCCUAUCUGGGAGUCAUUUUUCGAAGCUAACUUAGCUGACAGGGAUACAACCAACUCUGUGACAUCGUCAUUAAAUGGUAUUUCGGAGAAAUUAGGACAGAAGGAAGGAGGUGCAGCAAUGACAUUUGAUCACAUAACAAGAGUUCUGGAGGAUUUACAGUGUACUACUACCAGUGAAGAUCCAAAAGAAUUUACUUUUGAUUUACGCAAAAUGGUUGAAGCAUGUACAAAUGAGGAGAUCGAGUCGCUUGUGAAAAAGAAAUAUGGGCAAGAAGCUUUUACAAUCUUUAGGCUAUUGGUCACACAAGGUUGUGCAGUUGAAACAGAUCAAAUUAUUGACACGACAAUUCUUGACAAGCAAAUUGUUCAUUCAACUUUGUACAAACUAUGGAAUGAUGGGUACAUAGAUACAGAGAAAAUCGCUUCGGCAGCAGGAACAGGGUACGCACAGUUUUUUGCAUGGAGAGCCAGAAAUACAUUUCGUGAACAGUUCAUCGAUAAUCUUUACCAUGCUGCUUUGAACUUGCGCCAGAUGGUGAAUUACAUUGCUGAACUUCUAGUCGAGGGUUCGAAGGACGAAACGAAGCUGCGGAACAGAAAGAACAUUUUGAUCCUAGCUCUCACUAGACAUGAUGACUCUCUCAUGCUGUUCCAUGAUUUUUGA